This 492-nucleotide ribosomal RNA is filed under the name uncultured bacterium. RNAcentral describes it as "partial 16S ribosomal RNA". It matches the Rfam family "Bacterial small subunit ribosomal RNA", at positions 29 to 507 of the family's 1533-position model. The record is from RNAcentral.
AGUGAACGCUGGCGGUAGGCCUAACACAUGCAAGUCGAACGGCAGCACAGUAAGAGCUUGCUCUUACGGGUGGCGAGUGGCGGACGAGUGAGGAAUACAUCGGAAUCUACUUUUUCGUGGGGGAUAACGUAGGGAAACUUACGCUAAUACCGCAUACGACCUACGGGUGAAAGCGGGGGAUCUUCGGACCUUGCGCGAUUGAAUGAGCCGAUGUCGGAUUAGCUAGUUGGCGGGGUAAAGGCCCACCAAGGCGACGAUCCGUAGCUGGUCUGAGAGGAUGAUCAGCCACACUGGAACUGAGACACGGUCCAGACUCCUACGGGAGGCAGCAGUGGGGAAUAUUGGACAAUGGGCGAAAGCCUGAUCCAGCCAUACCGCGUGGGUGAAGAAGGCCUUCGGGUUGUAAAGCCCUUUUGUUGGGAAAGAAAAGCAGCAGGUUAAUACCCCGCUGUUCUGACGGUACCCAAAGAAUAAGCACCGGCUAACUUCGUG